This is a long non-coding RNA of Onychomys torridus (southern grasshopper mouse), 1236 nucleotides long. RefSeq lists it as uncharacterized. The transcript is spliced from 5 exons. NCBI's taxonomy places the organism in Eukaryota, Metazoa, Chordata, Mammalia, Rodentia, Cricetidae. The record is from RefSeq and is a predicted model, not a curated record.
GGCCCGGGUGGCCCUCGGUUAGCGUCGCGCCUGCUCGGGGGAGCACCUACGUCCCACCGCUUCCCGGAGCCGGAAGGGGGCAUCCAGAAAAAAACCCAGUCCUCCUCAUUAUGCAGCCCGACCCCCUUCCCCAGCUCCAAGCCAGAGCCUGACCCAGCGGCUGCACAUGCGCACAGGUCACCUCGCAGUCCCCGCCCAACUCAAGCGUUUCCUCUUAGCAUCCAGGACUUUUUUUUCCCCCCACGGCCUUUAUCUAGACUUUAGGGUGAGGCGUAGGGGAAUACAGACGGGAGUCUUACCAAGCCACUUGCAAAUUCAUCAAGAGAAGGAUCAGGAGUUCAAGGUCAUCUUCAGUUGCAAGUGUGACCCCAGCCUAAGAUGCAUGGAACCCUGUGUCAAAACAAAACAAAACCAGAAAUUCACCUCAAGCUACCCUCCUUCGUCUUUAUAAUCAAAUGAAUAUAAAAUGAUUCUUUAAGAACAUCAUGGUAAUACACACCUGAAAUCUCAGCACUUGGAAUGUGGACAAAGAGAAUCAGGAACCCAAGGCUUUCUGUCUGAUUCAAGUGUGAUUUAAGAGAUUUCACAUGAUUCCACUUUGGGGAAAGGAUGCAGGCACACUUGUGAAAAGAAGCAUGGGAAAGGAAACGGAGAAUGAGGAUGCCACCACACAGGCACUCUUGAGGUCAUGUUUUGUCAUUCGUCAACUCCUCAACUGAUCUUGUUUCCUCGGACUGCAGAUUUUAGGAUUCUGAGUCCUCUCCCAAAUGGAUCUCAGGUGAGCAGGUUAUUUAGUAGGGUAGUCUCACCAACACUUCCAAGUUGUUGGGUUUCACGGGAUCGGCAGCUGGGCCUUGGGUUGGCCUCAGACAGAGUGUUCUGACUGCCCACAUUUAAAAAUGGUCAAAAUCCAGAGCAUGGACAACAUCAAAUACCAGCAAAGAUGUGGGGUAGUAUGGACUUUAUUUUACUGCUGAUAGGAAUGUGGAAUAGUGCAGGGCUUUGAAGACUGGAAGUUUUGUUACCUGUGGUUGGGAUCUGGGCCAAGUGAUUCAGGUCCUUGGCGUCUUAUUCAAAGAAUUGGGAAUAAGGGCUCAAAAAGAUUUGCAAAAGAAGCAAGACAAUUUUGUUUUGAGCAAAGCAGUAAUACACACUAAAGAAAGAUAUCCACUGUCAACAUUGAUAUGGUGGGGGCUGGUUCUGAGAAGGUUCAGUAUUAAGAACACUUGCUGCUCU